Molecule: transfer RNA, 73 nt
Filed under: Mustela putorius furo (domestic ferret)
Lineage: Eukaryota; Metazoa; Chordata; Mammalia; Carnivora; Mustelidae
Rfam family: tRNA
About the family: Transfer RNA (tRNA) molecules are approximately 80 nucleotides in length.
Source: Rfam by way of RNAcentral
GCCUGGUUGGCUCAGUUGUUAGAGCAUAUGACUCUUGAUCUUGGGGUUAUGAGUUCAAAUCCCACAUUGGGUG